Molecule: ribosomal RNA, 562 nt
Filed under: uncultured bacterium
Lineage: Bacteria
Description: bacterial SSU rRNA
Rfam family: Bacterial small subunit ribosomal RNA
Source: RNAcentral
AACGAACGCUGGCGGCGUGCCUAACACAUGCAAGUCAAACGAUAUCUUCGGGUCUAGUGGCGCACGGGUGCGUAACGCGUGGGAAUCUGCCCUUUGGUUCGGAAUAACAGUUGGAAACGACUGCUAAUACCGGAUGAUGACGAAAGUCCAAAGAAUUAUCGCCAGAGGAUGACCCCGCGUAGGAUUAGCUAGUUGGUGUGGUAAAGGCGCACCAAGGCGACGAUCCUUAGCUGGUCUGAGAGGAUGAUCACCCACACUGGGACUGAGACACGGCCCACACUCCUACGGGAGGCAGCAGUGGGGAAUAUUGGACAAUGGGCGAAAGCCUGAUCCAGCAAUGCCGCGUGAGUGAUGAAGGCCUUAGGGUUGUAAAGCUCUUUUACCCGGGAUGAUAAUGACAGUACCGGGAGAAUAAGCUCCGGCUAACUCCGUGCCAGCAGCCGCGGUAAUACGGAGGGAGCUAGCGUUAUUCGGAAUUACUGGGCGUAAAGCGCACGUAGGCGUCUUUGUAAGAUAGAGGUGAAAGCCUGGAGCUCAACUCCAGAUCUGCCUUUAAGACUGC